ACCCAUCCAGGAUGGAAAGCGACGCAGAGGAUGCCGUGUUCGCGGUACCCCAUGGACUGGCACCUGGUGAGCAUGUUGAGAGCAGCCUGUGGAGACAGCACAGGGAUCAGGUGGGAACUGGGGCAAUGUGCUGUGAGAGAGGUGUAUGAAAAGUCAGGAGCUCAGCCACAGCAGAGAGAUGCAGACACUUUCAGAGAUGAUAUACUCGAGGGGUCCUGAGGUCAUUAACAGAGGGGAAAAUGAUCAUAGCACAUACCUUGCUGCAGCGGUAACAGACAGCUUGCACGCCUUCCCAUAAGUAGACUUCUUUGAUUGAACCCGAUCUGCUGGAAAUGUUGGCAAUGGCUGCUUUGCUGCAGCUCAUCCCUGAGCCUGGGCUCCCCUGGGCUGCCUUCUUCAGCAGUGGCAGGAAUGCCUGUGGGGAGCGAAAGGAGAAGCAUGCACAGAGGAGGCUCAUUGUAUGAGCCUGUUCCCUUCGAUAGUAGAUCAUAUCAGAGUAACAGAAUCAGAGAACAGUUGUUGUUUGCAGAUAUCUCUGUAGAUCAUCUGGUGCAACCUCCCCUACCCAAGCAGAGUCACCAAGAGCCCAUUGCCCACGAUCACGUCCAGGUGACUUCUGAGCAU
Long non-coding RNA from Tympanuchus pallidicinctus (lesser prairie-chicken), 624 nucleotides. RefSeq lists it as uncharacterized. Lineage: Eukaryota; Metazoa; Chordata; Aves; Galliformes; Phasianidae. The transcript is spliced from 3 exons. The record is from RefSeq and is a predicted model, not a curated record.